Molecule: unclassified non-coding RNA, 286 nt
Filed under: plant metagenome
Description: partial contains small subunit ribosomal RNA, internal transcribed spacer 1, and 5.8S ribosomal RNA
Rfam family: Eukaryotic small subunit ribosomal RNA (bases 1-55)
Source: RNAcentral
GGAAGUAAAAGUCGUAAACAAGGUUUCCGUAGGUGAACCUGCGGAAGGAUCAUUAUUGUAUAACCGAGGUGCGAGGGCUGUCGCUGACCCGAAAGGUCGAGCACGCCCGAGUGCCCUCACACACAUCCAUCUCACCCCUAUGUGCACCACCGCGUGGGUCCCCCUUUGGCUUGUUCGGAGGGGGGCCUACGUUUUCACACAAACUUUGUAUGCAGUGUAGAAUGUAUUUUUUGUUUUUGCGAUCACGCAAUCAAUACAACUUUCAACAACGGAUCUCUUGGCUCUC